Small nuclear RNA from Toxocara canis (dog roundworm), 118 nucleotides. It matches the Rfam family "U5 spliceosomal RNA". From Rfam's summary of the family: U5 RNA is a component of both types of known spliceosome. The precise function of this molecule is unknown, though it is known that the 5' loop is required for splice site selection and p220 binding, and that both the 3' stem-loop and the Sm site are important for Sm protein binding and cap methylation. Lineage: Eukaryota; Metazoa; Nematoda; Chromadorea; Rhabditida; Toxocaridae. The record is from Rfam.
UAUCUCUGGUUCCUUUGCAUUCAACGAGAAAAUCUUUCGCCUUUUACUAAAGAUUUCCGUGCAAAGGGACAUUUAUGAGUUUCCAAUAAUUUUUGGAGUCCCGGCUUCGGCUAGGGAC